GAACAUGAGGGCAAUCUGGCUGCAACAUCUGUCACCCCAUUGAUCACCAGGGGUGAUUAGGCUGAUCUGGCUGGCUAGGCGGGUGUCCCCUUCCUCCCUCACCACUCCAUGUGCAUCUCCGAAAGCUGCACACUCAGUCAAAGAGGGUGACCAUCCUGGAGAGAAGAGGAGCAUUCUUCAGUCAAGGGUGUACUAGUAGCUGCACUCCCCUGCUAGAACCUCCAAACAAACUCUCAAAGUGAUUUUUUAAAAUAUGUAUGUAGUUUUCACUGGCAU
RNAcentral lists this small nuclear RNA (276 nucleotides) under Castor canadensis (American beaver). Its description in RNAcentral is "7SK RNA (ENSCCNG00000000178.1)". It matches the Rfam family "7SK RNA". From Rfam's summary of the family: 7SK was discovered as an abundant small nuclear RNA in the mid-70s but a possible function has only recently been suggested. The record is from RNAcentral. Lineage: Eukaryota; Metazoa; Chordata; Mammalia; Rodentia; Castoridae.